This 364-nucleotide small RNA is filed under the name Pongo abelii (Sumatran orangutan). RNAcentral's name for it is "retained intron". Lineage: Eukaryota; Metazoa; Chordata; Mammalia; Primates; Hominidae. The record is from RNAcentral.
CCAGGCACUGGCAUUGCCCCCUUCCGGGGAUUCUGGCAGGAGCGGCUGCAUGACAUUGAGAGCAAAGGGCUGCAGCCCACUCCCAUGACUUUGGUGUUCGGCUGCCGAUGCUCCCAACUCGACCAUCUCUACCGCGACGAGGUGCAGAACGCCCAGCAGCGCGGGGUGUUUGGCCGAGUCCUCACCGCCUUCUCCCGGGAACCUGACAACCCCAAGGUGUGAGACCCUGAGGGCGCAAUGGUAGCCUGAAGAUAGGGAAAGAGGGGAGGACUCGCGCUCUCCAGCGGAGCACACCGACCAUGGCCCUCCCGUGGCCUCCCACGACCACUCAGCCACCCCUGCACACUCUGGCCCACCCUCGUGC